UCUAAAUAAAGUAUAAAGUAUAAAGUAUAAGUAUACUCCAUAGUAUAUCAGAUACAGAUCGGCUGCUCAUGUUUUAUCUAGUACUUAUAAAACUCAUUAAUAAUUCAUGAGGAAAAUACAAAAGAAAUGAAUGUUUAAUCAAUGUUUACAUAAACUUCAGCUUUGAUUUUCUCGGCUUAGACAAUGUUUAUUUUUAAAAUUACUUCGCCAAUGAGCUCAUAAGAUUGGUCGUUUUAUAAGCAUGAUAAAACAUUCAACAUCUAGUACUUAUUAAGCCUGAAGUUUGUGUUAUCACCCGAAGUUGAUGGCUGAUAUUGAAAACAAAAUUUGAGGGCUUGACAAUUCUUUGUAUCUGGCGAAAACCGAAUUCAAUAAUUGUUUUAUUAUUUAUUUAAAAGAUGAAAAAAACAUGCGCGUCUGUGGGUUGAACUCGUCGAAAUAAUGACAAGGUCUUUUCCCAAAUCUUUCCUUUUUUCUGUCAUAAGUACUUUAUUCUUUAAAGCGUCAUUGUCAACCACAACAACGACAACGUAUCUGUUUACAUCUUGCUUUCGUGACAAAUAGCAACAAAUGACGAUUAUAAACAUUUCUUUGGUGCAAUUUUAGCUAGU
Paramuricea clavata is the source of this 611-nucleotide non-coding RNA. The record is from the annotation of a GenBank genome assembly. Lineage: Eukaryota; Metazoa; Cnidaria; Anthozoa; Malacalcyonacea; Plexauridae.